This is a long non-coding RNA of Helianthus annuus (common sunflower), 3970 nucleotides long. RefSeq lists it as uncharacterized. Lineage: Eukaryota; Viridiplantae; Streptophyta; Magnoliopsida; Asterales; Asteraceae. The transcript has 10 exons. The record is from RefSeq and is a predicted model, not a curated record.
UUGAUAUUUUUUCUUUCGUCUUUCGUUGUUUCUCUCUACAACUCUUCACCUCCUAAUACAUUCAUCAGAAAAACUAGGUUUGCAUUCAACACGAUUCACAAAAUUCUCUAACUCAUACAAUGCCUCUUCCUCCCAUGUUACGAUUCAUAAACCCUAUCUCUCAUCUAAACUCUUGAGCAGCUUCUCUUUCAAGCAAUCAAAACCUUUAGUUUGGCAUUUUUUCUUGCUUUGCUGCGUGUCCUCUACUGCCCGUUUUCUUGCUUCCCUGCUUCACUAAUCCAUCUUAUAAGAAAGACAGAUACAACACGAGAGGAGACGUGGAUGGUGUUUUAUGGCGGUAAGCGACCAAACCAACCCGAACCGACGAUGAAGGAGGAACUGAAAUAAACGAGCAUCGCCGACCUGACUUGAUUACAGUGUUAGGUUACCGUUUUUUGUGAGAACAAAGGGAUCAUAAUCAAAUAGCAGGAAGGGAGUAGAAUGAAGAAAUUGUAACGUAUAUCAUGGUAAACGCCAUUUUCAAGUGUGAUUCAGACACAAAUUCGAGUGAAGUAGAUAGAGUUUCAAUAAAGCUUCAAUUGUCUUUGGUACCGAAUAAAAUUUCGGCUUCUGGUAAUGUUUAUUUUGUAUGUGUUUUGAAUUUUUUUGAUCUUUAUUCAACUGCACAUCUUCAUGCUUCCGUGCGUUUAGACACCUCUUCAUCCGCCUUUUCUUUUGUCACCAACAAUUGAAAACCCUAAUUAGGUUCACAGUCAAUCAACCUACGUGAUUGAGACCUUCCUUAUUUUCCUCUAUUUUGUUUCAACGUUCUCAAAAGAAACCUUAAAUGGCGCCUCACAAUUUUUCGAAUCGACUGCAAGGUGCGUACCCGUUAUUAGCAUGUUUGUUGCAUCAAGGGAAGUUUGUCCACAAAAGUUAUGGAAUGUAAUUUUAGACAUAUUUUCGAUAGUUUCGGGCUGCAAAGACUUGAAAAAAUUCAUCUUAUCCGUUGUUUAAACAUAAGCAAUGUUGAGUGGCUUGAGUGUCUCGGUAAGCAAGAAACGCUUCAAGAUCUUUGCAUCAAGAAUUGUCGGGGUAUUGGAGAAGGUUAAUUAGUUAAACUCGGGCCCACUUGGCGAAACAUGAAACGUUUGCAGUUCGAGGUUGACUCAAACUACAGGUACAUGAAACUGUAUGACCGGUUAGCUGUUGACUGGUGGCAAAAACAGUGGGUCCCGUGUGAAAACAUGACGGAAAUUAUGCUCACCAACUGCAUUAUCAGCCCGGGUAGAGGGUUAGCUUGUAUUUUAGACAAAUGCAAAAACUUAGAGAAAGUUCAUCUAGACAUGUGUAUAGGCGCACGCGAUUGUGAUAUUAUUGGGCUGGCUGAAAACUCAAAAAAUCUCCGGGCCAUUUCGAUACGAGUCAUACAGUUUUCUCGCUUCCGCUUUUAAUGGACAACCCGUUAAGACUCACCGACAAUAGUUUAAAGUCAUUGGCUCAAAACUGCACGCAACUCGAGUCCGUAUCACUAUCGUUCUCAGACGGAGAGUUUCCUUCGUUAUCUUCGUUUUCGAUAGACGGGAUUUUAAGUUUAAUAACAUUAACAAUGUGCCCCGUGAAAAGCCUGUUUUUGGACCGUGUUUAUUCUUUUAAUAAUACUGGUAUGGACAGUGUUUUUUUCCUCAUCACGCUUCUUUUUGGGCAGAAAAGUUUUGAUUUUGGAAAUAAUUUAAGUGUACCAAUUUGUGAUUUGAUCUUUAAUUUUUAGAAUUUAAUGUAAUAGCAUAAAAGUCACGUAUAUCACUUUAGUAAAUAUGUAUCAACCAAUAAUCAUACACCUUUGCAUCUUCAAGAUGUUUUUUGAUCCAAACUUUUAAGCAUAAUUAUAACAUUUAUAUGUUUGUAUGUUGGCAAUAGGUGGGAAAAGAGGUAUGGUGUCCUAUAUGCAAGUAAGUGUUGCAAUAGAACUGAUAUAUUAUCUUAUUAUGGGUUAUGUUCUCUUUGCGAACGUGAACUCAACAGAGACGGUGAGGUCCUAACAACUCUAUCUUCACACUCAUGUUUUGUAGCUGAUCAUCUAUACUAUACGGAUGGCAAAAUGGGUGGGUUGGGUAACGGGUUAAAUUGGGUUUGUGUCAACAUGUUAGUCUUUUGGUUUGGGUCAAAGCGGUUGGGUUGGGUUGGAUCAUGUAUACAGAUGGCAAAAUGGAUGGGUUGGGUAACGGGUCAAAUUGGGUUUCAUGGAAACCAACCAGUUUAAACUGGUUUGGACUAUCUAAAGUGUAAUCAAAUGCUUAAACUCUUCGAAAUUGUUUUAUAAAAAAAAAUAUGUGACUGUUUUCAUAAUAUGAUUUUUUUGAUUACAUAGAGAGAAUAAUACAUUAACUAUUUAUUAUAUUUAUUAGAUCCAUAAAAAGCACUAAAAGGUAUUGAUGGGUUAAAUUAAGCCGUUUUGACUAAAAGUUCAACAUAACUUUAUUUCAGCAAAACCCUUUUUCUCUAGCCCACUUAUUUCCCUGCAUGUACUAAUUUGCUCAUGCUUCCUUAUUUUUUUUUCCUAUUUAGGAUGAGGCUUGCAUCUUAAUUUGUAGGAUUUUUGUAGGGUUUGGUUCAUUUGACCACCUAAAAUUCUAUUUUAAUAUUUGUUUUAUUUUCUUUAUCUAAUAUUUGAUAUUAUUGCUCUGUACAUGGAGUAUUUAUUUACUUAUAGAUUAAUCAAAAUGAUAUAUACAAACACCCUUGAUCAAAUUAUCCUGAUUAUUUUUGUAUUUUAUUAUCUCAGUUAGGUGGCAUUGGUGGCAUGAGUUAUACCUUUUGCUUUGGUCGGAUUGCUGGAUUUGAGACAGUUGAUUUAUGUUUUAAGCAAAAGAUUAUCUCAGAGGUGUAUAUCAGCAAGACAAUAAAUGGCUUCCUUUCUAGCAUUCUUGAACAGUCCUGUUGGGCCUAAAACUACCCAUUUCUGGGGUCCUGUAGCCAACUGUGGAUUUGUUGUUGCGGGGUUGGUUGACAUGCAGAACCCUCCAGAGAUGAUAUCCGGCAAUAUGAGUGCAGCUAUGUGUGUAUUCUGGAUUAUUCAUGAGGUUCGCCUGGAUGGUGCAGCCGCGUAAUUAUCUACUUCUAGCAUGUCAUGCAUCAAAUGAAACAGUUCAGAUGUAUCAAUUUUCACGUUGGUUAAAGCAUCAAGGGUUUAGAAGAAGAGGAUGUUCCUCAACUGUACCCAAAAGUGCUAAAUCUUGGUGAAAAACCAGAAGCAAGAAUCAAUGGUGGUUGAUGAUGCUUUUUCAUCAAAAUGGAGGUGGGUGACAGUCUUUUUCUCUCUACUCUUUCGUGCUCAGCAAAACACAAAACUUUUCCAUGAGGGGACAACUCAUGGCUGAUGGUUACGUAAAUAUAUAGAUCAUAGAUGAUAUUGUGCUGCACAUGAGAUGCUCACUAAAAUGCCUCAGUGACGUUUCUAUCUACUUUUCAACUAUCAUAGAAUUUAAAUAUUGACUUUUUGUUUGGCAUACAUUAAACGACGGGUGCAGAGCCAUUUUACUGGAUGCGUGUUAUUCUUGCUUCAAACCGUGGGACUGUCAUGGAGCUCGGUAUUACUCCCAUUGUGACUUCUGGAUUGGUUAUGUUGUUGGCUGGGUCAAAAAUUAUUGAAGUGGACAACAACGUUCGUGAGAACCGUGCACUAUUGUAAGUUUAAUAGUAUUCAGAAAUUUUCUUUUACCAACCCGCGAAGCUCGCGGGUUCUUAGACUUAGACGUGAAGCCUAAGUUUGGAAAGGCGUAGAACAAAAAUGAUGAUCUACCUGAGGAUUCAAUGCCAGUAGAUAUUAUAUAUUUGUGUUAAGCCACCCACGAAAAUCGCGGGAUCUUAGGCUAGUUUAAAAUAUAUAAAGAAUCAUAGGGUACGUGUAUGCAUAGGAUUUAAAGGUGGAAUAUAGGCAUUUAAUACCAAUAGGCUACGUGUGUGUAAACUUCCAUUCCAAGUAAAAUUU